UACGAAGGGGGCUAGCGUUGAUCGGAUUUACUGGGCGUAAAGCGCACGUAGGCGGAUUUUUAAGUCAGGGGUGAAAUCCCAAGGCUAACCCUUGGAACUGCCUUUGAUACUGGAAGUCUCGAGUCCGGGAGAGGUGAGUGGAACUGCGAGUGUAGAGGUGAAAUUCGUAGAUAUUCGCAAGAACACCAGUGGCGAAGGCGGCUCACUGGCCCGGAACUGACGCUCAGGUGCGAAAGCGUGGGGAGCAAACAGG
Molecule: ribosomal RNA, 253 nt
Filed under: uncultured bacterium
Lineage: Bacteria
Description: partial 16S ribosomal RNA
Rfam family: Bacterial small subunit ribosomal RNA
Source: RNAcentral